GAUGAACGCUAGCUACAGGCUUAACACAUGCAAGUCGAGGGGAAACAAUGAGAGAGCUUUCUCUCUUAGUCGUCGACCGGCGCACGGGUGAGUAACGCGUAUCCAACCUACCCAUUACAGGGGGAUAACCUUACGAAAGUAAGAUUAAUACCCCAUGUCAUUUUAGGGUGGUUUCAUUAUAGGAUUCAAGCUUUAUUUGUAAUGGAUGGGGAUGCGUUUGAUUAGCUUGUUGGCGAAGUAACGGCCCACCAAGGCAACGAUCAGUAGGGGUUCUGAGAGGAAGGUACCCCACAUCUGAACUGCGGCACAGUCCACAAUGCUACGCGAGGGAGCAGUGAGGAAUAUUGGUCACUGGGGCAGGGCUUGAACCAGCCAAGUAGCGUGCAGGAGGACGGCCAUAUGAGUUGUAAACUGCUUUUAUAGGGGAAUAGUGUGAGUUACGUGUAGUUUAUUGAAGGUACCCAAUGAAUAAGGACCGGCUAACUCCGUG
Molecule: ribosomal RNA, 490 nt
Filed under: uncultured bacterium
Lineage: Bacteria
Description: partial 16S ribosomal RNA
Rfam family: Bacterial small subunit ribosomal RNA
Source: RNAcentral